Molecule: long non-coding RNA, 351 nt
Organism: Pangasianodon hypophthalmus (striped catfish)
Lineage: Eukaryota; Metazoa; Chordata; Actinopteri; Siluriformes; Pangasiidae
Exons: 2
Source: RefSeq, a predicted model, not a curated record
CCAACGUUCACCUAAAAGAGUCGGCUCAAAGAAUCGACUCGUUCGCAUCAGUACAUGGCAUGACUAGCCUUUAAUACUGACCGUGACUAAAACAGUUAGCUGUUGUGAAUUUAAGUUCAUAAAAUGAAGAAAAUUCACUUAAAAUAUUGAAACUGACAAUAUUUAGCAGCUAGUUAGGGUUACUUCAGCUAGCUGUGGCGCUAACUCCUCAGCCCAGAGAAAUAAAGAAAGGACAUGAAUGGAGGCGGAUCGAUUUGUAUUUUACUGUAAAACCGAACUUGCUUUUCUCAAAUUCAAAACAAAAAAAAAAUACUUCAGCAUAUUUACAACAGCAGUGUUGAUGGAAGCACC